RNAcentral lists this ribosomal RNA (584 nucleotides) under Erwinia sp. SaH-07. RNAcentral's name for it is "bacterial SSU rRNA". It matches the Rfam family "Bacterial small subunit ribosomal RNA", at positions 554 to 1136 of the family's 1533-position model. The record is from RNAcentral. Lineage: Bacteria; Pseudomonadati; Pseudomonadota; Gammaproteobacteria; Enterobacterales; Erwiniaceae.
CUGGGCGUNAAGCGCACGCAGGCGGUCUGUUUAAGUCAGAUGUGAAAUCCCCGGGCUUAACCUGGGAACUGCAUUUGAAACUGGCAGGCUUGAGUCUCGUAGAGGGGGGUAGAAUUCCAGGUGUAGCGGUGAAAUGCGUAGAGAUCUGGAGGAAUACCGGUGGCGAAGGCGGCCCCCUGGACGAAGACUGACGCUCAGGUGCGAAAGCGUGGGGAGCAAACAGGAUUAGAUACCCUGGUAGUCCACGCCGUAAACGAUGUCGACUUGGAGGUUGUGCCCUUGAGGCGUGGCUUCCGGAGCUAACGCGUUAAGUCGACCGCCUGGGGAGUACGGCCGCAAGGUUAAAACUCAAAUGAAUUGACGGGGGCCCGCACAAGCGGUGGAGCAUGUGGUUUAAUUCGAUGCAACGCGAAGAACCUUACCUGGCCUUGACAUCCAGAGAACUUAGCAGAGAUGCUUUGGUGCCUUCGGGAACUCUGAGACAGGUGCUGCAUGGCUGUCGUCAGCUCGUGUUGUGAAAUGUUGGGUUAAGUCCCGCAACGAGCGCAACCCUUAUCCUUUGUUGCCAGCGGNUCAUGCCGGAA